GCGUCGGUGGCUCAGUGGUCGAGCACUUGACUUGAAAUCUGCAGGUCCUGGGUUCGAAUCCCGCCAUGUA
Molecule: non-coding RNA, 70 nt
Organism: Papilio xuthus (Asian swallowtail)
Lineage: Eukaryota; Metazoa; Arthropoda; Insecta; Lepidoptera; Papilionidae
Source: Rfam